CUGAUCCAGCCAUGCCGCGUGAGUGAUGAAGGCCUUAGGGUCGUAAAGCUCUUUCGCCAGGGAUGAUAAUGACAGUACCUGGUAAAGAAACCCCGGCUAACUCCGUGCCAGCAGCCGCGGUAAUACGGAGGGGGUUAGCGUUGUUCGGAAUUACUGGGCGUAAAGCGCGCGUAGGCGGAUUAGUCAGUUAGAGGUGAAAUCCCGGGGCUCAACCCCGGAACUGCCUUUAAUACUGCUAGUCUUGAGUUCGAGAGAGGUGAGUGGAAUUCCGAGUGUAGAGGUGAAAUUCGUAGAUAUUCGGAGGAACACCAGUGGCGAAGGCGGCUCACUGGCUCGAUACUGACGCUGAGGUGCGAAAGUGUGGGGAGCAAACAGGAUUAGAUACCCUGGUAGUCCACACCGUAAACGAUGAAUGCCAGUCGUCGGGUAGCAUGCUAUUCGGUGACACACCUAACGGAUUAAGCAUUCCGCCUGGGGAGUACGGUCGCAAGAUUAAAACUCAAAUGAAUUGACGGGG
This 517-nucleotide ribosomal RNA is filed under the name uncultured bacterium. Its description in RNAcentral is "bacterial SSU rRNA". It matches the Rfam family "Bacterial small subunit ribosomal RNA", at positions 383 to 918 of the family's 1533-position model. The record is from RNAcentral.